GCGGGCGUGGUGGAAUUGGUAGACACGCAGGAUUUAGGUUCCUGUGGCGAAAGCUGUGCGAGUUCGAGUCUCGCCGCCCGCA
Molecule: transfer RNA, 82 nt
Filed under: Arboricoccus pini
Lineage: Bacteria; Pseudomonadati; Pseudomonadota; Alphaproteobacteria; Geminicoccales; Geminicoccaceae
Description: Arboriscoccus pini tRNA
Rfam family: tRNA
About the family: Transfer RNA (tRNA) molecules are approximately 80 nucleotides in length. Their secondary structure includes four short double-helical elements and three loops (D, anti-codon, and T loops).
Source: Rfam by way of RNAcentral